GAAUCCAGAGAUGGAUUUGUGCCUUCGGGAACUGUGAGACAGGUGCUGCAUGGCUGUCGUCAGCUCGUGUUGUGAAAUGUUGGGUUAAGUCCCGCAACGAGCGCAACCCUUAUCCUUUGUUGCCAGCGGUUAGGCCGGGAACUCAAAGGAGACUGCCAGUGAUAAACUGGAGGAAGGUGGGGAUGACGUCAAGUCAUCAUGGCCCUUACGACCAGGGCUACACACGUGCUACAAUGGCGCAUACAAAGAGAAGCGACCUCGCGAGAGCAAGCGGACCUCAUAAAGUGCGUCGUAGUCCGGAUUGGAGUCUGCAACUCGACUCCAUGAAGUCGGAAUCGCUAGUAAUCGUGGAUCAGAAUGCCACGGUGAAUACGUUCCCGGGCCUUGUACACACCGCCCGUCACACCAUGGGAGUGGGUUGCAAAAGAAGUAGGUAGCUUAACCUUCGGGAGGGCGCUUACCACUUUGUGAUUCAUGACUGGGGUGAAGUCGUAACAAGGUAACCGUAGGGGAACCUGCGGUUGGAUCACCUCCUUACCUUAAAGAA
This 547-nucleotide ribosomal RNA is filed under the name Salmonella enterica subsp. enterica serovar Newport str. VA_R100808502. RNAcentral describes it as "bacterial SSU rRNA". It matches the Rfam family "Bacterial small subunit ribosomal RNA", at positions 996 to 1533 of the family's 1533-position model. Lineage: Bacteria; Pseudomonadati; Pseudomonadota; Gammaproteobacteria; Enterobacterales; Enterobacteriaceae. RNAcentral also lists the same sequence under 2 other names. The record is from RNAcentral.